RNAcentral lists this ribosomal RNA (366 nucleotides) under uncultured bacterium. Its description in RNAcentral is "bacterial SSU rRNA". It matches the Rfam family "Bacterial small subunit ribosomal RNA", at positions 28 to 356 of the family's 1533-position model. The record is from RNAcentral.
GAUGAACGCUGGCGGCGUGCCUAAUACAUGCAAGUCGAACGCAUUGUGGUUGAAAUGAUAUGAAGAACUUGUUCAGAUUUGAUUUUCAACAUUGCAAUGAGUGGCGAACGGGUGAGUAACACGUGGGAAACCUACCUCUUAGCAGGGGAUAACAUUUGGAAACAAAUGCUAAUACCGUAUAAUAAUUAAAACCGCAAUGGUUUUAGUUUAAAAGAUGGUCUUGCUAUCACUAAGAGAUGGUCCCCGCGGUGUAUUAGUUAGUUGGUGAGGUAAUGGCUCACCAAGCAAUGAUACAUAGCCGAGUUGAGAGACUGACCGGCCACAAUGGGAGUGAGACACGGCCCAUACUCCUAGGGAGCAGCAGUA